This 254-nucleotide ribosomal RNA is filed under the name uncultured bacterium. RNAcentral describes it as "partial 16S ribosomal RNA". It matches the Rfam family "Bacterial small subunit ribosomal RNA", at positions 524 to 776 of the family's 1533-position model. The record is from RNAcentral.
UACGGGGGGAGCAAGCGUUGUUCGGAUUUACUGGGCGUAAAGGGCGCGUAGGCGGUCAGCACAAGUCAGUUGUGAAAUCUCCGGGCUUAACUCGGAAAGGUCAACUGAUACUGUGCGACUAGAGUGCAGAAGGGGCAACUGGAAUUCUCGGUGUAGCGGUGAAAUGCGUAGAUAUCGAGAGGAACACCUGCGGCGAAGGCGGGUUGCUGGGCUGACACUGACGCUGAUGCGCGAAGGCGUGGGGAGCGAACGGG